GAGUUUGAUCGUGGCUCAGGAUGAACGCUGGCGGCGUGCCUAACACAUGCAAGUCGAGCGAUCUUCUUCGGAAGAGAGCGGCGGACGGGUGAGUAACGCGUGGGUAACCUGCCUCAUACACAUGGAUAACAUACCGAAAGGUAUGCUAAUACAAGAUGAUAUAAGAGAUUCGCAUGGAUUUCUAUCAAAGCUCCGGCGGUAUGAGAUGGACCCGCGUCUGAUUAGCUAGUUGGUAAGGUAAUGGCUUACCAAGGCGACGAUCAGUAGCCGACC
RNAcentral lists this ribosomal RNA (273 nucleotides) under uncultured bacterium. RNAcentral describes it as "partial 16S ribosomal RNA". It matches the Rfam family "Bacterial small subunit ribosomal RNA", at positions 9 to 292 of the family's 1533-position model. The record is from RNAcentral.